RNAcentral lists this ribosomal RNA (463 nucleotides) under uncultured bacterium. RNAcentral describes it as "partial 16S ribosomal RNA". It matches the Rfam family "Bacterial small subunit ribosomal RNA", at positions 28 to 507 of the family's 1533-position model. The record is from RNAcentral.
GAUGAACGCUGACAGAAUGCUUAACACAUGCAAGUCUUUGGCGAAGCUGUGCUCGCACAGCCUAGCCAAGGCGGACGGGUGAGUAACGCGUAAGGAACUUGCCCUGCAGUCAGGGAUAACAGACGGAAACGACUGAUAAGACCUGGUAAAGUCAGGCGGACUCAUGUCCAGCCUGAUGAAAAGAGAUGCUGCAGGAGAGCCUUGCGUCCUAUUAGCUUGUUGGUGGGGUAACGGCCCACCAAGGCGAUGAUAGGUAGCCGGCCUGAGAGGGUGGACGGCCACAAGGGGAAUGAGAGACGGCCCUUACUCCUACGGGAGGCAGCAGUGGGGAAUAAUGGACAAUGGGGGCAGCACUGAUCCAGCAAUUCUGUGUGCACGAUGAAGGUUUUCGGAGUGUAAAGUGCUUUCAGCAGGGAAGAAAAAAAUGACGGUACCUGCAGAAGAAGCGACGGCUAAAUACGUG